UUGAAACUCAAAGUACAUAAAAAACGAAAAAUCUGGGUUUUGACGAAACACCCCGCUCCCUGUUCUGUCGGUGGGUUUCGUUUCAAAAUAAAUCUGUUGAAACAAUCGUUCCCGACAGUCCGCGACAUAGAGAGGAGAGCAGUGGAGAGAAGCCAAAACCGUCUCAGCUCUCGUUCUUCUUCCUCCAACCUUCGUUCCUGACGGUCGGCGACAGAGAGAGGAGAUCAGCGAGGAGAGAAGCCAGAACCCAUAUCUGAACUUCCGAAAAACCCAUCUCAGGCAAGCAUUCUUCUCGUUCUUCUUCUUCCUCCAAACGGAGUUUCUGGAAUUUCCGCGACAGAGAGAGGAGAUCAGCGAGGAGAACCCGCCAUAACCCAUAUCUGAACUUCCGAAAAACCCAUCUCAGGCAAGAAGUGAUCUCGUUCUUCAUCUUCCUCCAACCUCCGUUCCCGACGGUCGGCGACAGAGAGAGGAGAUCAGCGAGGAGAGAAGCCAGAACCCACUUCCCUCCUUCCGAAAAACCCAUCUCAGAGAGAGGAGAGCAGAGAGGAGAGAAGUGCGAACUCAGCUCGUGACCCCUUCCGAACCCAAGAUCUCAGCUAUUAUGUCUGGAAGUAGUAUCCCUGC
This is a long non-coding RNA of Macadamia integrifolia, 627 nucleotides long. RefSeq lists it as uncharacterized. The transcript is spliced from 3 exons. NCBI's taxonomy places the organism in Eukaryota, Viridiplantae, Streptophyta, Magnoliopsida, Proteales, Proteaceae. The record is from RefSeq and is a predicted model, not a curated record.